RNAcentral lists this ribosomal RNA (1466 nucleotides) under Streptococcus thermophilus. RNAcentral describes it as "bacterial SSU rRNA". It matches the Rfam family "Bacterial small subunit ribosomal RNA". Lineage: Bacteria; Bacillati; Bacillota; Bacilli; Lactobacillales; Streptococcaceae. The record is from RNAcentral.
GAACGCUGGCGGCGUGCCUAAUACAUGCAAGUAGAACGCUGAAGAGAGGAGCUUGCUCUUCUUGGAUGAGUUGCGAACGGGUGAGUAACGCGUAGGUAACCUGCCUUGUAGCGGGGGAUAACUAUUGGAAACGAUAGCUAAUACCGCAUAACAAUGGAUGACACAUGUCAUUUAUUUGAAAGGGGCAAUUGCUCCACUACAAGAUGGACCUGCGUUGUAUUAGCUAGUAGGUGAGGUAAUGGCUCACCUAGGCGACGAUACAUAGCCGACCUGAGAGGGUGAUCGGCCACACUGGGACUGAGACACGGCCCAGACUCCUACGGGAGGCAGCAGUAGGGAAUCUUCGGCAAUGGGGGCAACCCUGACCGAGCAACGCCGCGUGAGUGAAGAAGGUUUUCGGAUCGUAAAGCUCUGUUGUAAGUCAAGAACGGGUGUGAGAGUGGAAAGUUCACACUGUGACGGUAGCUUACCAGAAAGGGACGGCUAACUACGUGCCAGCAGCCGCGGUAAUACGUAGGUCCCGAGCGUUGUCCGGAUUUAUUGGGCGUAAAGCGAGCGCAGGCGGUUUGAUAAGUCUGAAGUUAAAGGCUGUGGCUCAACCAUAGUUCGCUUUGGAAACUGUCAAACUUGAGUGCAGAAGGGGAGAGUGGAAUUCCAUGUGUAGCGGUGAAAUGCGUAGAUAUAUGGAGGAACACCGGUGGCGAAAGCGGCUCUCUGGUCUGUAACUGACGCUGAGGCUCGAAAGCGUGGGGAGCGAACAGGAUUAGAUACCCUGGUAGUCCACGCCGUAAACGAUGAGUGCUAGGUGUUGGAUCCUUUCCGGGAUUCAGUGCCGCAGCUAACGCAUUAAGCACUCCGCCUGGGGAGUACGACCGCAAGGUUGAAACUCAAAGGAAUUGACGGGGGCCCGCACAAGCGGUGGAGCAUGUGGUUUAAUUCGAAGCAACGCGAAGAACCUUACCAGGUCUUGACAUCCCGAUGCUAUUUCUAGAGAUAGAAAGUUACUUCGGUACAUCGGUGACAGGUGGUGCAUGGUUGUCGUCAGCUCGUGUCGUGAGAUGUUGGGUUAAGUCCCGCAACGAGCGCAACCCUUAUUGUUAGUUGCCAUCAUUCAGUUGGGCACUCUAGCGAGACUGCCGGUAAUAAACCGGAGGAAGGUGGGGAUGACGUCAAAUCAUCAUGCCCCUUAUGACCUGGGCUACACACGUGCUACAAUGGUUGGUACAACGAGUUGCGAGUCGGUGACGGCGAGCUAAUCUCUUAAAGCCAAUCUCAGUUCGGAUUGUAGGCUGCAACUCGCCUACAUGAAGUCGGAAUCGCUAGUAAUCGCGGAUCAGCACGCCGCGGUGAAUACGUUCCCGGGCCUUGUACACACCGCCCGUCACACCACGAGAGUUUGUAACACCCGAAGUCGGUGAGGUAACCUUUUGGAGCCAGCCGCCUAAGGUGGGACAGAUGAUUGGGGU